RNAcentral lists this unclassified non-coding RNA (200 nucleotides) under Mycosphaerella sp. RNAcentral's name for it is "partial internal transcribed spacer 2". The record is from RNAcentral. Lineage: Eukaryota; Fungi; Ascomycota; Dothideomycetes; Mycosphaerellales; Mycosphaerellaceae.
UUAAGUUCAGCGGGUAUCCUUGUCUGAUCCGAGGUCAAGAUUGAAGAUGUGGAGUUGUGGCAGGCGUCUAGUCAGGUAUCCUCGAGCACGAACUCUGCUGCGCUCUGGGCUGACUUUACCACCGCCGAUGUUUUUAAGGCGAGUCCCUUCACCAAGGAAGGGACAAGGACGCCCAACACCAAGCUGAGCUUGAAGGUUCA